This 71-nucleotide transfer RNA is filed under the name Polyangiaceae bacterium. RNAcentral describes it as "tRNA-Met". It matches the Rfam family "tRNA". From Rfam's summary of the family: Transfer RNA (tRNA) molecules are approximately 80 nucleotides in length. Their secondary structure includes four short double-helical elements and three loops (D, anti-codon, and T loops). Further hydrogen bonds mediate the characteristic L-shaped molecular structure. tRNAs have two regions of fundamental functional importance: the anti-codon, which is responsible for specific mRNA codon recognition, and the 3' end, to which the tRNAs corresponding amino acid is attached (by aminoacyl-tRNA synthetases). tRNAs cope with the degeneracy of the genetic code in two manners: having more than one tRNA (with a specific anti-codon) for a particular amino acid; and 'wobble' base-pairing, i.e. permitting non-standard base-pairing at the 3rd anti-codon position. Lineage: Bacteria; Pseudomonadati; Myxococcota; Polyangiales; Polyangiaceae. The record is from RNAcentral.
CGCGGGGUGAGGAAAUGGUAUCCGGUCGGGCUCAUAACCCGUCAAUGCCGGUUCGAGUCCGGCCUCCGCUA